This 238-nucleotide unclassified non-coding RNA is filed under the name Hevea brasiliensis (rubber tree). Lineage: Eukaryota; Viridiplantae; Streptophyta; Magnoliopsida; Malpighiales; Euphorbiaceae. The record is from RNAcentral.
AGUGAGCCGGAUUCUGCGGGAGACGGGGGCGCUCGUGGUGAAGGAUCCGCGGUGUUCUACUGAGGACAAUGAUCGGUUCAUUGAUAUGAUGGAGAGGUACUUCGAGCAGUCAGAUACCGCCAAGCGGUUUCAAGAGAGACCGCAUCUUCAUUAUCAGGUUGGAGUAACGCCCGAAGGGGUGGAGAUACCACGGAUUUUAGUGGAUGAAAAAUUGCAAGAAAAGGUAAAUCAGAUGCCG